This 1185-nucleotide ribosomal RNA is filed under the name Triticum aestivum (bread wheat). RNAcentral's name for it is "partial small subunit ribosomal RNA". The record is from RNAcentral. Lineage: Eukaryota; Viridiplantae; Streptophyta; Magnoliopsida; Poales; Poaceae.
GAUGCCUCCCCCUUCCUCUUCCUCAUGCCGCAUCCCUCUUCCUCUUCCUCCCUCGUGCCGCACUCCCCUUCCUCCCUCUUCAUCUGCUUUUUCCUCCAGGGAUCCCACUCCGGCAAAAGAUCGCCGCCCUGGUGGUCAGUGCCUCCUCGUCGGCGUCGGCGUCGUUUAGGGUUCCUUCAAGGUCGGGGUCGUCUAGGGUUCCAUCAAGCUCCGUCAAGUUCGUCAUCUUCAAGAAGUAUUCCAUCGGUACAGCAGAGAGAGGACAAGGGGCUCAUCAAGGCACGCGGUGCUAGGAACUUCCAUUCGACGGCCCCACUGCUUAUUCGACAUCCUAUUUCAAAACAGUCGUGGUAUGACUCAGGAAUUUUCCUUCUUCAGUAUGUUAGCAAGUACAAAGGUCUCGGAUUGGAGGGGUUCUCUAAUGAUGAUUUACAAGCUCUACGUCAAAAUUCCUUUUUGAGAUUGUAACUUGCAAGGACAAUGAAAUUCAGCUGCCCUGAGUAACUUCUUUCCUGCAGAGACAUGGUCUCAUUAAUAUUGUCACCUUCAAGGGAAGUUGCACUGCAAGAUUCAACUCAAAGGAAUACUUCCAUGGGAAAAAUGUUUCCUUAUCGAUAGAGCUAUCUUUUUUUCUCUUGCUGGUCUAGUGAUAGUUUCUUCCAAGACCUUCAGCUGUAAACAAUGUCUGAAAACAGCUGAAGCAGUUUUAUAAACGAGCAGUAAGACAUGUACAUUUUUUUGUCUUUCAUGACGCCUUGGUGAUACUAUCAUCACUCAAUUUCAUCAAGCUGUAAGCUUACCACUUUUAUGACAGUUUUAGAAUUACCACUUUGUAACAAAUGUAAAAUGAAAUUUCAUGUUUUUUUUAUAAUUAAAAACUAGUUGAAUCAAUAGGAACAGCACCUGGGUUCAGAAAUAGGAAUCGAUUUCUUUGGGAAACAGUAGAAACAGCACCUGGGUUCAGAAAUAGAAACCGAUUUCUUUGGGAAACAGUAAAAACAGUUGUUUAGUUUAUAAAAGGAAAACAGCAGGUACGGCAAAACAGUGGAACAAAUUUUUAAAACAGCGAAACAGCAGGUACAGCGAAACAGUGGAACAGCUUCACGAAGUAGGAACAGCGAAACGGUAGAAACAGUUCAAACUCAGGGAAACGCGCGCCUCGCGGCCGACAAAGCCCGCCAAUCA